GAGGUGGCACAGCGGGAAAGUGGUUCCCAAGAGAGGGUGCCUUCGUAUGUCCCUUACCCCCUGGAGGGGUUCCCUGAGGCUCACUGGGGGCUCAUGGGGGGUCCACCCCACCCAGCAGCCGGUGCUGCCGUGGCCGUGGAGCAGAGGGGAGUGGGAAAGGGGGGUCUGGCAUGGCCGCCUGAGCUUCCAAGUGGCUGUGGGGUGAUGGAAGUUGCUGUAGCGGGGGGCUGGCAGGGGGCACGCCAUGACCUGUGUCCCUGCCCGCGGAGGGGUGUUCCAGCACACGGGAAAGGCCAAGUGUCACUUCCAGAACGGCAUUGCGGGGUGAAGUUGGUGGACAGGAACAGCUCAGACACUCGGCUGGGAAGCCGCUCUGCAUCAUCCUACGGUGAUCCUCGUCUGCCUCUCACCCAGCUCCGGGCUCUGGCAAUUCUCCUCUUCCGUCUGCAUUCAUCAGCCACCGGCACACCGGCAACAGCCUUACAGGUGUGGGGAAUGUGGGAAGAGGGUUCAGAGCAUCUCGGAUCUCAUGAAACGUCAGUGGACACACUCGGGAAAGUAUCUCCCCAGCCUCCACUCCUGUCAGGUCACAGCAUGAUCUGAGAAAUACUUGUUUAGGCCUCGGCCUUGACAAGCAGCUCCGGGGCUCAACUCCUCUUGAGUUUAUCACAAACAUUGUCUUUUCCAGGAACUGGGUCUGUCCAACCACCUCCAACACCCUUGGAAACUUUGUUUGUUUGUUUUUUGGUGUUGUUUUUGUUUUGUUUUGGUGGGUUGGUUUGGUUUUUUUGGUUUGGUUUGGUUUGGUUAGGUGGGUUUUUUUUGUGGGUUUGUUUGUUUGUUUGUUUGUUUGUUUGUUUGUUUUUUGUAUUUUUUUCCUGAAUAACAUCCCAGAUGGGAUUAUAUUUCUGUGCUCAACCUUUCCCAGAAAGUCACCAACCUGAGCUGGGGCCAGGGUGGAAGCUGCCUGUGACUAAAGCCCAUCCCUUGGGCCCUAUAAACAGCAGCCCUGAGUGAGACCCUUGGAACUCUUCUGGGCCACAGCAGCUGCAACAGCGACGUCCCUGUGCUGGGGCCUCUGCAAGUCCCCUGUGCUGGGAACUCUCCCAUUUGCUGCACUCGAGGCAUCCCUGAAUGAUGAUAUGUCCUGGGCUGAGCCCCGCCACUCCUCAAGGCUCUACCCUGCGCCUGGUGAGAAGAUGCAAAAGCAUCGGAAGGGAGAAUUCCACUGGAUUCCAGGGGAAUUUCCCACGGGACCUCGUACAGACUCCUGUCCAUAUGUGUGUGACGGUGAAUAUGCCAUAGCAAAUGUCUGCGAAUGCUGCUCUCCUGGAGUCAGAAGUACUUUAGAUUUGACCAGCACCCACUCCGGACUCCUGUGUCUCCCGAACCUAUUGCACCCCACAGGAGGAGCACGGAUGGAGCUGGGGCAGGUCGGGCUGGGUCAGGGCUGGGCUCUUGGCUGCUCCUGCCCACACUCGGUCCCCACUGCAGCUGCCACUGCCAGGAGAGCAUGGCGGGGGGGGAGGGGAGGGGGGGCAGGCUGGGUGCCCUCCAUCUUCCCCCUCCCCAAAAUUCCCCUUCUGGGGGGCACUGGAGGUGAGAGGGGGUGCAGGUGGGGUCCACAUGGGGAAUGUUGAGUGCUGCGGGUCUGCCUGGACACUGAUGAGUCAUCAGCCAAACCCCUGCAGAACUGGGUUAUACCUCGCAACCUCUUCAGGAACGGGGUCCCCCGUGACCUCAUCCUCCCCAGCCUUCAGCUGUCUCAUUUCAGACCCCAUCCCACCUCUCCUGAUCCCCAUCCCACCCCUCCCAAAUCACAUCCCACCUCUCCCAAACCCCAUCUCAGCUCUCCCAAUCCCUAUCCCAUCUUUCCCAGUCCAUAUCCCACCCUUCCUGAUUCACAUCCCACCCCUCCCUAUCCCCUUCCUUCCUCUCCAGGGUUUGGAGUGCUGUGGGAUUGCAUAGUUUUGAGGUGGUAUUGAGUCAUUUGGAGGUGGGGUUGAGCCAUUUUGGGCUGGGAUGGAGACACUUUCAGUGGCGUUGUGUGGUUUUGAGGUGAUGGAUAGAACCCCUCAUGUCUUGGGGUGGAAAGCAAUGGAAGACACUCCUCCAAAUUCCCUCAAAAGCCCCAAAACCUCCUGAAUAUCCCCCAGACUACAAAUCCCCGUUGCCCCCCCCCCACACCCCACCCCACCCCACCCCCCGCCCCCGGUCCCUGUAAAAUGGUGGGGUUUCACACAUCUAUGAUGAGGUUCUUUAUUUUUAACCAAUUUUGGGUAUUUUUAAAGGAUGGAUCACAAGAAAAUGAAGGCUAAAAUGAAAGAA
This is a long non-coding RNA of Cinclus cinclus, 2328 nucleotides long. RefSeq lists it as uncharacterized. The record is from RefSeq and is a predicted model, not a curated record. NCBI's taxonomy places the organism in Eukaryota, Metazoa, Chordata, Aves, Passeriformes, Cinclidae. The transcript is spliced from 2 exons.